GUGGGGAGGGCCGGAUUAGAUACCCUGGUAGUCCACGCCGUAAACGAUGUCAACUAGCCGUUGGGAGCCUUGAGCUCUUAGUGGCGCAGCUAACGCAUUAAGUUGACCGCCUGGGGAGUACGGCCGCAAGGUUAAAACUCAAAUGAAUUGACGGGGGCCCGCACAAGCGGUGGAGCAUGUGGUUUAAUUCRAAGCAACGCRAARAACCUUACCAGGCCUUGACAUCCAAUGAAUCUGCUAGAGAUAGCGGAGUGCCUUCGGGAACAUUGARACAGGUGCUGCAUGGSUGUCGUCAGCUCGWGUCGUGAGAUGUUGGGUUAAGUCCCGUAACAAGCGCUACCCUUGUCCUUAGKUACC
Molecule: ribosomal RNA, 357 nt
Filed under: Pseudomonas sp.
Lineage: Bacteria; Pseudomonadati; Pseudomonadota; Gammaproteobacteria; Pseudomonadales; Pseudomonadaceae
Description: bacterial SSU rRNA
Source: RNAcentral